Non-coding RNA from Triticum aestivum (bread wheat), 138 nucleotides. NCBI's taxonomy places the organism in Eukaryota, Viridiplantae, Streptophyta, Magnoliopsida, Poales, Poaceae. The record is from Rfam.
UUACUACUCUCUCCGUCCCAAAAUUCUUUUCUUAGAUUUGCCUAGUUUUUGCGGAUGUAUCUAAUACUAAAACGUGACUUGAUACACACGUAUUUAGACAAAUCUAAGACAAGAAUUUUGUGGCGGAGGGAGUACUAG